UUUAGGAGGGGCGAAGCUCCUCUUAUUGUGAGGGCGAGUUAUAUAACACCAUAGGACUGGCCGUCCCAUAUGAAAAGAUUAUAUUAGAAUUGAAUGAAGCUUUGUUUAUAUAUUGAUAAUGACAGUAUAUAUAUCGUGUCUUGACUAAUUGCGUGCCAGCAGUCGCGGUAAUACGUAAGAGACUAGUGUUAUUCAUCUUAAUUAGGUUUAAAGGGUACCCAGACGGUCAAUAUAGCUUAUAAAAUGUUAGUACUUGACUAGAGUUUUAUGUAAGAGGGCAGUACUUGAGGAGGAGAGAUGAAAUUUCGUGAUACCAAAGGGACUCUGUAAAGGCGAAGGCAGCCCUCUAUGUAAAAACUGACGUUGAAGGACGAAGGCACAGAGAACAAACAGGAUUAGAUACCCAAGUAGUCUUUGCAGUAAAUGAUGAAUGCCAUAGGUUAGAUGGGUGGGCUCGUCUAGUUGAGUUAGUUUAGCAAACUAAUGAUCUAGACGAGCCCACCGUAUAUUUGGUCUAUAAAUGAAAGUGUAAGCAUUUCACCUCAAGAGUAAUGUGGCANCGC
This 563-nucleotide ribosomal RNA is filed under the name Fusarium oxysporum f. sp. cepae. RNAcentral's name for it is "SSU rRNA". It matches the Rfam family "Bacterial small subunit ribosomal RNA", at positions 365 to 894 of the family's 1533-position model. The record is from RNAcentral. Lineage: Eukaryota; Fungi; Ascomycota; Sordariomycetes; Hypocreales; Nectriaceae.